CCCUUAGAUGUCCUGGGCUGCACGCGCGCUACACUGAUGUGUCCAGUAAGCACCUAACCUAUUCCGAGAGGAGCGGGUAACCUUAGCAAAGCACAUCGUGAUGGGGAUAGAUUAUUGCAAUUAUUAGUCUUGAACGAGGAAUUCCUAGUAAGCGCCAGUCAGCAGCUUGCGCUGAUUACGUCCCUGCCCUUUGUACACACCGCCCGUCGCUCCUACCGAUGGGUGAUCCGGUGAAUGAUUCGGACUUCAGCGGCUCCCCUGGGGUGCGCCGGAGAAAGUUUUGUGAACCUUAUCACUUGGAGGAAGGAGAAGUCGUAACA
RNAcentral lists this ribosomal RNA (320 nucleotides) under uncultured eukaryote. RNAcentral's name for it is "partial 18S ribosomal RNA". It matches the Rfam family "Eukaryotic small subunit ribosomal RNA", at positions 1470 to 1796 of the family's 1831-position model. The record is from RNAcentral.